UUUAGUUGUUAGCCCCCAAAGCGAAACUAUUAUUUCUUAGUCCCUUUUCGUAUGAAUACAAAUUACGAAAAGCUACGUUACAUGGAUUAGAUAAAAGUUGUACCACACUCAAUGAGUGACUGAACAGGGUAUAUAAAGUGUUAUAAAGAUGAACUCUUGCCGGGAGUAAUAAAGUUAUUGUACCGAACUACAUUGAUUUAGUCCGGUGAUGUUCGUGUUCUUUGGCAUCAAUGAACUUUAAAUAAGUGCUUAUCAUUUUAAUAUUUUGUAUUUUAGAUCACGUUAAAUAUUUUAAAGAGAAAUCAGCACAAAAGUUCCAUAUCACAGAGGAUUUCAGAGAAAAAUACAUUUAAAGGAUUCUAGUUUAGGAAAAUCACCAAAGUCACAAAGAUUGGUACUGGAAUUCGUUAGAAACCUAUACAUGUAUAGCUUAUUUUAAAGCAAGUUUUGUACCUUGAGACAUUGUUUGGUAUGUAGAUUUACAUCAAUCAAAAAUAUCUGAGACACUGUCUUGUUCUAAAUGUGUCUUUACACAUAUUAGUCUCCAUAUUCCUUUUAAUAUUCUCCUGUCAAUGUUUUACCUGUUUCUUGUGUCUGUUUUACAAUAAAUAUAGAGUCAUGGAUUGUUGACUGUGUGGACAAUUUGAGCUGAGCUCAGACUGAAAGUGAUAUCGUAAUAAUAAGCUGAACUUCUCCAUUUACAUACACAUGUAUGGACAGCUCAACACAAACCAAAUUCAACACUUUCAAGUGGUUACAAUAAAGGUUUUACUGUCUGUGUAAUCCACUCCGUUUUGGUGAAUCUGUUUGGUUUACUAGAGCAAAUCACUUUGCGACAUACGGAACAAGCCGACAGUUCAGCACAAACCAAUUUCAACAAUUGCAAUUUGCACUGUUUGGAUCGUGUUGCAAAAAAUGCCCGACGCAUCACUCUACCUGUCAAUAUCAUUGCGAAGAAAGUAUGCCAUCCCGUUGGUGUAUUUAUUAAAGCUCAAAACACAUUUCAGUAAUGUGACACAGCACUGUAGCAUUUUGGCCAUAUUUAACAUAAAAAUUACCUCCCUUGGAAUAACAACUAUGUACAUCUCAUUUAUACAACAUUCUUUAAGUCUUGUAUAUUUCAUUUAUGCAAAAUUGAUUAGGUCUUGUAUAUUUCAUUUAUACGAAAUUGAUAAGGUCUUGUAUAUCUCAUUUAUAAAAGAUUGAUUAGGUCCUUUAUAUCUCAUUUAUACAAAAUUGUUUAGGUCCUUUAUAUCUCAUUUAUACAAAAUUGAUUAGGUCUUGUAUAUCUCAUUUAUACAAAAAUGAUUAGGUCUUGUAUAUUUCAUUUAUACGAAAUUGAUUAGGUUUUGUAUAUCUAUUUAUACAAAAUAGAUUAGGUCUUGUAUAUUUCAUUAUACGAAAUUGAUUAGGUAUUGUAUAUCUAUUUAUACAAAAUUGAUUAGGUCUUGUAUAUUUCAUUUAUGCAAAAUUGAUUAGGUGUUGUACAUCUCAUUUAUACAAAAUUGAUUAGGUCUUGUAUAUCUCAUUUAUACAAAAUUGUUUAGGUCCUUUAUAUCUCAUUUAUACAAAAUUGAUUAGGUCUUGUAUAUCUCAUUUAUGCAAAAUUGAUUAGGUCUUGUAUAUCUCAUUUAUACAAUAUUGAUUAGGUCUUGUAUAUUUCAUUGAUGCAAAAUUGACUAGCUGUUGUACAUCUCAUUUAUACAAAAAUGAUUAGGUCUUGUAUAUCUCAUUUAUACAAUAUUGAUUAGGUCUUGUAUAUCUCAUUUAUACAAUAUUGAUUAGUUCUUGUAUAUUUCAUUGAUGCAAAAUUGAUUAGCUGUUGUACAUCUCAUUUAUACAAAAAUGAUUAUGUCUUGUAUAUCUCAUUUAUACAACAUUGUUUAGGUCUUGUAUAUCUCAUUCAUACAAAAUUGAUUAGGUCUUGUAUAUCUCAUUUAUACAAUAUUGUUUAGGUCUUGUAUAUCUCAUUUAUACAAUAUUGAUUAGGUCUUGUAUAUCUCAUUAUACAAAAUUGAUUAGGUCUUGUAUAUCUCAUUAUACAAAAU
Molecule: long non-coding RNA, 2048 nt
Filed under: Haliotis rubra (blacklip abalone)
Lineage: Eukaryota; Metazoa; Mollusca; Gastropoda; Lepetellida; Haliotidae
Description: uncharacterized LOC124257008
Source: RNAcentral